CUAAACUAUGUGCUAAAUCAUUAUGUAUCUUUUAUUUUACAGAUUCAAGUCUGUGAGGGAAAGCACUGCUGUAUGCACCAGAAAACUGAGAACACUGUGAGAAAUGACUCUUCUGCAGACAAUUCAAUAACAAAAAUGAAGUAGAUUUGGAACACUGCUUUCAAUGAAAGGCCAAACUCUGACUGGAUUUGGUGCAUCAGGUGGUAUUAAGAGCUACCAGGAGCAUCAUGUACCUUUCACACAGCAAAAACUGUAAUCCUGGAGCAGAUGGCUUUGAACCUGAACUUCGAAUUUCAGGGUCAGGGGAAGGCCUGGAUACCUUCAGUGGUUGCCAACCAGCUUCUGGGUUGUUUGGAUUUCAUAACUUCUACCCAGGAAACUCAACUGAAGCCUGCACAGCUCUCCCUGCUAACUGACAACGAAAAACUCUGCCUUCCUCUUUGUGUCAGCUCUGACGUUCCUGAGCUGCUGCGACUCACCCAAGAAAAGCCUUUUCUGCUGGAGCACUCACACAAAACUACUGCUUAUCCUCUGCAAAGGCAUAGAAAGAAGGAGCAACAAGAGCCUGUGGAGGGAUUGGACCUAAAUAAAGGUUAAAAUCAAGCAGACGUGUUGAAGAUACUGGAACAAGUAGUGAGAAAAAAUAGCAGAGUACGUGUAGUUGUGCAAGUAAAUAAAGAAAUUCUUUGUUAUUUUUGGCA
RNAcentral lists this long non-coding RNA (701 nucleotides) under Manacus vitellinus (golden-collared manakin). Its description in RNAcentral is "lncRNA (ENSMVIG00005014309.1)". Lineage: Eukaryota; Metazoa; Chordata; Aves; Passeriformes; Pipridae. The record is from RNAcentral.